CAUUCGAUUUUGAGGUUAAUUCGCAACAUGGCGGACAUCGUGUGGAUACAGUAGAUUUCUAGAUUUUAAAAUUUACGGUGGAUUUUUAUACGGAAAUUCGCAAGUAAUAAAAAGAGUACUAUUACAUACUAUUUUAAUUUUAUUUAGUAUGAAUAUUCACAUCGACAGAUACUGGAACAGUGAAAAUGAAUUCCUAACAUGAUUUUGCGCCUGAAGAUUAAUGUUUGUUUAUGUAACGCAUAGUAAGCAGUGCUUGUUUAAGCGGUAAACACGCGAUGGAAUAUAAUCGUUCACAUCUAUCGAUAUCAAGUGCGAAACGACGUUUAAACGCUGACAAGAUUUUCAAAUUCUGAAAUAAUUUUGAAUCAUACACGUGGUAUUCAGAUUACACAUAUAUACACAACGGAAACACUUGUUAUUGAUACAAGUUUCUUUCAUUAAGACGCUGAAUGUCAGAAAAAAAUAACUGUACCUGUUGUGGCAGCUUCAACUGAAAAUUAUUAACCCAGAUAAACCUUUUUUUUUUCAAAAUAAUAUCAUUUUCCCUCUACUGGGGGUUUAAAUGGAACGCAUAAUUAAAUUUUUGUACGAUCACCCUUCUGGAAGGUUGCUAGACAUAUCUGGGUUAAGCGUAUGAACGUGCAAUUUUUUAAUUCCGUAUUUCGACUUAUUGCUUUAUAUUAAUAUUAUUUAGGAUUCUUAUUCCUUUUCUACUUCCAGUUAUUUGAUCCGCAAUUUAGUUAAAAAGGAAUAAAUAAAAAUAUAAUUGAUCAAUUUCGUUUUUCUCGCCGUGACAAUAUAACGAGAGUGUAUAUAUAAAUAUAAGCAGUACUGAAGUUAGUGGGUCAUAAAACAAGCAGGAUAAAAUUUAAAUAAAAAAUCGAACAAGAAAAAGGAAAAAAUAGGCGAACAAUUCAUGCAGCGAACAUCAGUUCACCGGAUACUGUCGCAUUAUUAUAGUUCAUUAAUGCAUGGCGCUGUUACGCAAGAUAUUUUGCGAAAUAUCGCCGAGAACAGGUAUCAUGUUGUACGUGAUUAUCUCGUAUGCUGCUCUUGCAUCUACAGCGAAAAAAUCGCGUUGGAACAUCGAAAAAUGAUUUUCAAAGGGAUUUGUUAUUUACCCUGCAAACAAAUAUAAGAAAUAAAAGGAUCAUUGUGUAACACAAUUUCA
Molecule: long non-coding RNA, 1171 nt
Organism: Megachile rotundata (alfalfa leafcutting bee)
Lineage: Eukaryota; Metazoa; Arthropoda; Insecta; Hymenoptera; Megachilidae
Source: RefSeq, a predicted model, not a curated record